GGCGGGUUAAACCGGAAAUGGUGGAGCCACAGCGAAAGCGAGUCUUAAUAGGGCGUUUGUCAGUGUUUAUAGACCCGAACCCUGGUGAUCUAACCAUGGCCAGGAUGAAGCUUGGGUGAUACCAAGUGGAGGUCCGAACCGACUGAAGUUGAAAAUUCAGCGGAUGAGCUGUGGUUAGGGGUGAAAUGCCAAUCGAACCAGGAGCUAGCUGGUUCUCCCCGAAAUACGUUGAGGCGUAGCGUCUAGUGCUCCAGCAGGGGGGUAAAGCAACCAUUUCGGUGCGGGCUGCGAAAGCGGUACCAAAUCGAUAUGAACUCUGAAUACCCUGUGUGUAACUAGGCAGUCAGACUGUGGGGGAUAAGCUCCAUAGUCAAGAGGGAAACAGCCCAGACCGCCAGCUAAGGUCCCAAAAUUAACGCUAAGUGAUAAAGGAGGUGGGAUUGCCCAGACAACCAGGAGGUUUGCCUAGAAGCAGCCAUCCUCAAAGGAGUGCGUAAUAGCUCACUGGUCGAGCGAUCCUGCGCCGAAAAUGAACGGGGCUAAGCGUUAUACCGAAGCUGCGGAUAAAUUUAUUUAUGGUAGGGGAGCGUUCUAUGUAGGGUGAAGCGUUAGCGUAAGCGGACGUGGACAGCAUAGAAGUGAGAAUGUCGGCUUGAGUAGCGAAAACAUGGGUGAGAAUCCCAUGCCCCGAAACCCUAAGGGUUCCUCCGGCAGGCUCGUCCGCGGAGGGUUAGUCUGGACCUAAGGCGAGGCCGAAAGGCGUAGUCGAUGGAUAACAGGUCAAUAUUCCUGUACCAGAUGUGUUUUGAGAAGGGGGACGGAGAAGGCUAACCAGGCCAGAUGUUGGUUACUGGUUCAAGCGUUCGAGGCUUUGAGAGAUGGAGAAAACAUCUUGAGCUAAGGCGUGAGUACGAGCUGCUACGGCAGCGAAGUUGGUGAUGUCAUGCUUCCAAGAAAAGCCCUAUACUCGUUAAGACACAAAUGCCAGUACCCGAAACCGACACAGGUGGGGUGGUAGAGAAUACCGAGGGGCGCGAGAUAACUCUCUCUAAGGAACUCGGCAAAAUGGCCCCGUAACUUCGGGAGAAGGGGUGCCAGCGAGAGCUGGUCGCAGUGAAGAGGCGCAAGCGACUGUUUACCAAAAACACAGGUCUCCGCUAAGUCGCAAGACGAUGUAUGGGGGCUGACACCUGCCCAGUGCCGGAAGGUUAAGGAAGCUGGUUAGCUUUUAGUGAAGCUGGCGACUGAAGCCCCGGUGAACGGCGGCCGUAACUAUAACGGUCCUAAGGUAGCGAAAUUCCUUGUCGGGUAAGUUCCGACCCGCACGAAAGGUGUAACGAUUUGCGCGCUGUCUCGGAGAGAGGCUCGGCGAAAUAGAAUUGUCUGUGAAGAUGCGGACUACAUACACCCGGACAGAAAGACCCUAUGAAGCUUUACUGUAGUUUGAUAUUGUGCUCGGGCUCUGAAUGCGCAGAAUAGGUGGGAGACGUUGAAAUAGUGCUUGUGGGUACUAUUGAGUCAUCGGUGAGAUACCACUCUUUUAGAGCUAGGGUUCUAACGCUUACCCGUUAUCCGGGAAGCGGACAGUAUCUGAUGGGCAGUUUGACUGGGGCGGUCGCCUCCUAAAAGGUAACGGAGGCGCACAAAGGUUCCCUCAGGCUGGUUGGAAAUCAGUCGUUGAGUGCAAAAGCAGAAGGGAGCUUGACUGUGAGACCUACAAGUCGAACAGGGACGAAAGUCGGUUUUAGUGAUCCGACGGUUCUGCGUGGAAGGGCCGUCGCUCAACGGAUAAAAGUUACUCUAGGGAUAACAGGCUGAUCUCCCCCAAGAGUUCACAUCGACGGGGAGGUUUGGCACCUCGAUGUCGGCUCAUCGCAACCUGGGGCUGAAGUCGGUCCCAAGGGUUGGGCUGUUCGCCCAUUAAAGCGGUACGCGAGCUGGGUUCAGAACGUCGUGAGACAGUUCGGUCCAUAUCCGGUGUAUGCGCAGGAAUAUUGAGAGGAUUUCUCCCUAGUACGAGAGGACCGGGAGGAACGCACCUCUGGUGUGCCAGUUAUCGUGCCAACGGUAAACGCUGGGUAGCCAUGUGCGGAGUGGAUAACCGCUGAAAGCAUCUAAGUGGGAAGCCCACCUCAAGAUGAGUAUUGCCAUGGCUUAAGCCAGUAAGGUCACGGGAAGAACACCCGUUGAUAGGCUCUACGUGGAAGCUUGGUAACAAGUGCAGCGGAGGAGUACUAAUAGACCGAGGGCUUGACCAA
RNAcentral lists this ribosomal RNA (2258 nucleotides) under Prochlorococcus sp. scB241_528P18. Its description in RNAcentral is "bacterial LSU rRNA". It matches the Rfam family "Bacterial large subunit ribosomal RNA", at positions 639 to 2925 of the family's 2925-position model. The record is from RNAcentral. Lineage: Bacteria; Bacillati; Cyanobacteriota; Cyanophyceae; Synechococcales; Prochlorococcaceae.